This 599-nucleotide long non-coding RNA is filed under the name Phoenix dactylifera (date palm). RNAcentral's name for it is "long non-coding RNA (PDAC_LNC020896)". The record is from RNAcentral. Lineage: Eukaryota; Viridiplantae; Streptophyta; Magnoliopsida; Arecales; Arecaceae.
UGCAGCUAUCUAUCUACAUAGUUCAUAAGUUUUGAUCGUGAGUGAUAGAGACUAACUAACAAAAUUUCUAGUGCUAGAGGCAAUUUGCUCCCAUAGUUGAUUGGUGCUAAAAGACAACAAAUGCCAAUUAUAUUGGUAUAGUAGGCCAUGAUGCAACAUUCAAUCCAUAUCCAUAUUGUACAUUAGAAAAACAGAACACGAUUGACUUGAUAUCUAUAUUACAUAUCAAAACCACAAACAGAAAAAUUACACCAUCCCAAGGGUUAGUACAGUAGUGGCCGGUAAUGUACCAUUCUUGGGAAGAACCCGUACCACCCUCAGUAUUGCCUCAGUAUUGGUAUUUCAAUCCUUGCUAGUUACAGUUUAUAUUGCACAUGGCUUUACUGAUUGUUUGCAUAUUUGUGAACGCUUUUUCUAUCUUGAAUGAUCUGACUGCAACUGAAGGUCUUUAGAAGGUCUUGCAUAAUGAGCAUUUAAUUAUUUGACUCUGUGCUGCUUGAAUUAGACUAAUAUAUGAAUAAUUUAUACAUAUACAAGUCCAUAUACUGAAAAAUUGAAAAUUUCAUUGGUUCAUUUGUUUCUUCUGAAAAACUAUUGGU